GCGUACACGGUGGAUGCCCUGGCAGUCAGAGGCGAUGAAGGACGUGCUAAUCUGCGAAAAGCGUCGGUAAGGUGAUAUGAACCGUUAUAACCGGCGAUGUCCGAAUGGGGAAACCCAGUGUGAUUCGUCACACUAUCGUUAACUGAAUACAUAGGUUAACGAGGCGAACCGGGGGAACUGAAACAUCUAAGUACCCCGAGGAAAAGAAAUCAACCGAGAUUCCCCCAGUAGCGGCGAGCGAACGGGGAGC
RNAcentral lists this ribosomal RNA (250 nucleotides) under Klebsiella pneumoniae subsp. pneumoniae. RNAcentral's name for it is "partial 23S ribosomal RNA". It matches the Rfam family "Bacterial large subunit ribosomal RNA", at positions 15 to 265 of the family's 2925-position model. Lineage: Bacteria; Pseudomonadati; Pseudomonadota; Gammaproteobacteria; Enterobacterales; Enterobacteriaceae. The record is from RNAcentral.